RNAcentral lists this ribosomal RNA (485 nucleotides) under uncultured Gammaproteobacteria bacterium. RNAcentral describes it as "bacterial SSU rRNA". It matches the Rfam family "Bacterial small subunit ribosomal RNA", at positions 46 to 526 of the family's 1533-position model. The record is from RNAcentral. Lineage: Bacteria; Pseudomonadati; Pseudomonadota; Gammaproteobacteria.
GCUUAACACAUGCAAGUCGAACGGUAGCAGGUCCUUCGGGAUGCUGACGAGUGGCGGACGGGUGCGUAACGCGUGGGAAUCUGCCCAAUAGUGGGGGAUAACCCGGGGAAACUCGGGCUAAUACCGCAUACUCCCUACGGGGGAAAGCGGGGGACCGUAAGGCCUCGCGCUAUUGGAUGAGCCCGCGUCCGAUUAGCUUGUUGGUGGGGUAAAGGCCUACCAAGGCGACGAUCGGUAGCUGGUCUGAGAGGACGACCAGCCACACUGGGACUGAGACACGGCCCAGACUCCUACGGGAGGCAGCAGUGGGGAAUAUUGGACAAUGGGGGAAACCCUGAUCCAGCAAUGCCGCGUGUGUGAAGAAGGCCUGCGGGUUGUAAAGCACUUUCGGCAGGAAAGAAAAGUCAUGCGCCAAUACCGCAUGACCUUGACGUUACCUGCAAAAGAAGCACCGGCUAACUCCGUGCCAGCAGCCGCGGUAAUAC